AGCAUGUGGUUUAAUUCGAAGAUACACGAAGAACUUACCUGGCCUUGACAUGGUAGGAACCUUAAGAGAUUAGGGGGUGCUAGCUUGCUAGAACCUACACACAGGUGCUGCACGGCUGUCGUCAGCUCGUGUCGUGAGAUGUUGGGUUAAGUCCCGCAACGAGCGCAACCCUCGUCCUUAGUUGCUAACAGUUCGGCUGAGCACUCUAGGGAGACUGCCUUCGCAAGGAGGAGGAAGGUGAGGACGACGUCAAGUCAUCAUGGCCCUUACGGCCAGGGCUACACACGUGCUACAAUGGGGCGUACAGAGAGCUGCGAUACCGCGAGGUGGAGCCAAUCUCUUAAAGCGUCUCUCAGUUCGGAUUGUUCUCUGCAACUCGAGAACAUGAAGCUGGAAUCACUAGUAAUCGCAGAUCAGCUAUGCUGCGGUGAAUACGUUCCCGGGUCUU
Molecule: ribosomal RNA, 448 nt
Filed under: uncultured Sulfuricurvum sp.
Lineage: Bacteria; Pseudomonadati; Campylobacterota; Epsilonproteobacteria; Campylobacterales; Sulfurimonadaceae
Description: bacterial SSU rRNA
Rfam family: Bacterial small subunit ribosomal RNA
Source: RNAcentral